RNAcentral lists this unclassified non-coding RNA (391 nucleotides) under soil metagenome. Its description in RNAcentral is "partial contains 5.8S ribosomal RNA, internal transcribed spacer 2, and large subunit ribosomal RNA". The stretch from base 1 to 122 matches the Rfam family "5.8S ribosomal RNA", at positions 35 to 154 of the family's 154-position model. The record is from RNAcentral.
GAUGAAGAACGUAGCGAAAUGCGAUACUUGGUGUGAAUUGCAGAAUCCCGUGAACCAUCGAGUCUUUGAACGCAAGUUGCGCCCGAAGCCAUUAGGCCGAGGGCACGCCUGCCUGGGCGUCACACGUCGUUGCCCCCCCAUCUACUCCUUCGGGAUUGCGGGGGGCGGAUGAUGGCCUCCCGUGCGCCUCGUCGCGCGGUUGGCCUAAAUGCCAAGUCCUCGGCGACGCACGCCACGACAAUCGGUGGUUGCGAAACCUCGGUUGCCCGUCGUGUGCGGUCGUCGCGCAUCGAGGGCUCGAAAAAAUUGCCGGGCUUCGGCUCGGCUUUCAACGCGACCCCAGGUCAGGCGGGGUUACCCGCUGAAUUUAAGCAUAUCAAUAAGCGGAGGA